ACAUUUUGUCUAUCUGAAA
Molecule: microRNA, 19 nt
Filed under: Ictalurus punctatus (channel catfish)
Lineage: Eukaryota; Metazoa; Chordata; Actinopteri; Siluriformes; Ictaluridae
Description: ipu-miR-7554
Source: miRBase by way of RNAcentral